GCGGCAACAGCUCAAAUUUGAAAGCCCGCGGGCGUUGUAAUUUGCAGGCGGAUGUUUUGGGGCGGGCGCUGUCUACGUUCCUUGGAACAGGACGCCGCAGAGGGUGAGAGCCCCGUGCGAUGGCGCCUCCAACCGCGUAAAACUCCGCCGACGAGUCGAGUUGUUUGGGAAUGCAGCUCCAAGUGGGUGGUAAAUUCCAUCUAAAGCUAAAUACUGGCGAGAGACCGAUAGCGAACAAGUACAGUGAUGGAAAGAUGAAAAGCACUUUGAAAAGAGAGUGAAACAGCACGUGAAAUUGUUGAAAGGGAAGGGUAUGCGAUUAGCGGCCAGCAGGAGGUGCCUUCUCGUGAAAAGGCCGUGCACCGUCUUCGGACACCGUGCGCGGAGAUGGCGAGGGGGCGCCUGAGGUCUGCGACUCGAGGUUGCUGGCGUAAUGAUUGCAUACCACCCGUCUUG
RNAcentral lists this ribosomal RNA (456 nucleotides) under Diutina rugosa. RNAcentral's name for it is "partial large subunit ribosomal RNA". It matches the Rfam family "Eukaryotic large subunit ribosomal RNA", at positions 98 to 656 of the family's 3401-position model. Lineage: Eukaryota; Fungi; Ascomycota; Pichiomycetes; Serinales; Debaryomycetaceae. The record is from RNAcentral.